GCCUGGUGGCUCAGUCGGUUGAGCGUCUGACUUUGGCUCAGGUCACGGUCCAAGGUUCGUGGGUUCCAGCCCCGUCCCCGGCU
Molecule: transfer RNA, 83 nt
Filed under: Felis catus (domestic cat)
Lineage: Eukaryota; Metazoa; Chordata; Mammalia; Carnivora; Felidae
Also listed under: 2 other names
Rfam family: tRNA
About the family: Transfer RNA (tRNA) molecules are approximately 80 nucleotides in length. Their secondary structure includes four short double-helical elements and three loops (D, anti-codon, and T loops). Further hydrogen bonds mediate the characteristic L-shaped molecular structure. tRNAs have two regions of fundamental functional importance: the anti-codon, which is responsible for specific mRNA codon recognition, and the 3' end, to which the tRNAs corresponding amino acid is attached (by aminoacyl-tRNA synthetases). tRNAs cope with the degeneracy of the genetic code in two manners: having more than one tRNA (with a specific anti-codon) for a particular amino acid; and 'wobble' base-pairing, i.e. permitting non-standard base-pairing at the 3rd anti-codon position.
Source: Rfam by way of RNAcentral